RNAcentral lists this long non-coding RNA (439 nucleotides) under Salvator merianae (Argentine black and white tegu). RNAcentral describes it as "lncRNA (ENSSMRG00000002193.1)". Lineage: Eukaryota; Metazoa; Chordata; Lepidosauria; Squamata; Teiidae. The record is from RNAcentral.
UUCCAAUUUCUGUCUUGCGUCUCUGUCCACUUCACACUACUCGUCUAUAACUGCCAGUGUUGGAGGAAGCAAGUAAAGGAAUAGGGAAGGCCUUACAAUUUAGAGUAUGAAAAGUAUGACCCCCAAGCUGAUUAUGAGGAUCAUCUCUAUCUCUCAUCAUCCCCACUCUGUUAAGUGACAAAGAAUUUUAGGGGAGUUGUAAUUCAUGGCACCUGAAGGAUCAGAGGAGGAAAAGGAGGAAGAAGGACAUUUGAAUUCACUUACUUCAGAGAGAAAAUGGUUUGAAAACUUCCUAGGCACUAAGAAAGCUUUCAGUGACAUCCUUUACCCUUGGAGGACAUGCUGCCAAACUCUGAAUUCAUGGAACAUUUAUAUGGUUCCAUUAAUUACAAAUUAAUAUGACCUGUACAUGGAGUCAGUCUGGAGCAUCUCAAGGUAU